UAAAACGUAGGAGGCGAGCGUUAUCCGGAUUUACUGGGCGUAAAGCGCUUGCAGGCGGUUUGGUAAGUCGGACGUGAAAGCUCCCGGCUCAACUGGGAGAGGUCGUUCGAAACUGCCAGACUAGAGGGCAGCAGAGGGAGGCGGAAUUCCGGGUGUAGCGGUGAAAUGCGUAGAUAUCCGGAGGAACACCAGUGGCGAAGGCGGCCUCCUGGACUGUCCCUGACGCUAAGACGCGAAAGCUAGGGUAGCAAACGGGAUUAGAAACCCCGGUAGUCCUAGCCGUAAACGAUGCACACUUGGUGUUGGUGGCGUAAGACCCAUCAGUGCCGCAGCUAACGCGAUAAGUGUGCCGCCUGGGGACUACGGUCGCAAGGCUA
This 377-nucleotide ribosomal RNA is filed under the name uncultured Chloroflexota bacterium. RNAcentral's name for it is "bacterial SSU rRNA". It matches the Rfam family "Bacterial small subunit ribosomal RNA", at positions 521 to 896 of the family's 1533-position model. Lineage: Bacteria; Bacillati; Chloroflexota. The record is from RNAcentral.